RNAcentral lists this ribosomal RNA (497 nucleotides) under uncultured bacterium. Its description in RNAcentral is "partial 16S ribosomal RNA". It matches the Rfam family "Bacterial small subunit ribosomal RNA", at positions 28 to 507 of the family's 1533-position model. The record is from RNAcentral.
GAUGAACGCUGGCGGCGUGCCUAAUACAUGCAAGUCGAGCGAACGGACGAGAAGCUUGCUUUUCUGAUGUUAGCGGCGGACGGGUGAGUAACACGUGGAUAACCUACCUAUAAGACUGGGAUAACUUCGGGAAACCGGAGCUAAUACCGGAUAAUAUUUUGAACCGCAUGGUUCAAAAGUGAAAGACGGUCUUGCUGUCACUUAUAGAUGGAUCCGCGCUGCAUUAGCUAGUUGGUAAGGUAACGGCUUACCAAGGCAACGAUGCAUAGCCGACCUGAGAGGCUGAUCGGCCACACUGGAACUUAGACACGGUCCAGACUCCUACGGGAGGCAGCAGUAGGGAAUCUUCCGCAAUGGGCGAAAGCCUGACGGAGCAACGCCGCGUGAGUGAUGAAGGUCUUCGGAUCGUAAAACUCUGUUAUUAGGGAAGAACAUAUGUGUAAGUAACUGUGCACAUCUUGACGGUACCUAAUCAGAAAGCCACGGCUAACUACGUG